This 103-nucleotide microRNA precursor is filed under the name Marmota monax (woodchuck). The record is from RNAcentral. Lineage: Eukaryota; Metazoa; Chordata; Mammalia; Rodentia; Sciuridae.
AGAGGGAUAGUUGGGUCAAAUGGUGGUUCCAUUCCCAGAUUUCCAAGGAAUUUCCAUACUGCUUUCUAUAUUGGUUGCACCAAUUUGCAAUCCCACCAGCAAU